UUACUUAUAGUGUAAUAAACACAUUAAAUUUUCGUUUUAGAGAUAUGAUUAAUUCAUUAAGUAAU
RNAcentral lists this transfer RNA (65 nucleotides) under Cephalothrix sp. BMK-2020. Its description in RNAcentral is "tRNA-Glu". Lineage: Eukaryota; Metazoa; Nemertea; Palaeonemertea; Archinemertea; Cephalotrichidae. The record is from RNAcentral.